This 260-nucleotide unclassified non-coding RNA is filed under the name uncultured fungus. RNAcentral describes it as "sequence contains 5.8S rRNA gene". The stretch from base 1 to 53 matches the Rfam family "5.8S ribosomal RNA", at positions 102 to 154 of the family's 154-position model. The record is from RNAcentral. Lineage: Eukaryota; Fungi.
GAACGCACAUUGCGCCCCUGGGCAUUCCUAGGGGCAUGCCUGUCCGAGCGUCAUAAACAAAAGUCGAGCCCUCUUUGCUCGGUGUUGGGCGUGUCGUCACUAAUCUGUGGCGCGCCUGAAAGUUCAGGGCAGUCGCCUCUGGACCUCAAGCGUAGUAAAAUCCUCGCUUGUUUUUCAGAAAGCAACUAGCCAGACCCGCAGGGGUUGCCAAAAAAACGUAUUUGACCUCGGAUCAGGUAGGGACACCCGCUGAACUUAAG